This 288-nucleotide unclassified non-coding RNA is filed under the name uncultured Ascomycota. Its description in RNAcentral is "sequence contains ITS1". The stretch from base 1 to 105 matches the Rfam family "5.8S ribosomal RNA", at positions 50 to 154 of the family's 154-position model. Lineage: Eukaryota; Fungi; Ascomycota. The record is from RNAcentral.
GAAAUGCGAUAAGUAAUGUGAAUUGCAGAAUUCAGUGAAUCAUCGAAUCUUUGAACGCACAUUGCGCCCUCUGGUACUCCGGGGGGCAUGCCUGUUCGAGCGUCAUUUCACCAAUCAAGCCUGGCUUGGUAUUGGGCCACGGGGGCGACCCGGACCCGAAAUCUUUCGGCUGGCAACCCGUAUCUCAGCGUUGUGGCAAUCAAUUCGCUGUCGAGAAGGGGAGUCUGCGCCGUUAAACCUCUAUUCAAGGUUGACCUCGGAUCAGGUAGGGAUACCCGCUGAACUUAA